GAUGAAGACGUAGCAAAAUGCGAUAAGUAAUGUGAAUUGCAGAAUUCAGUGAAUCAUCGAAUCUUUGAACGCACAUUGCGCCCGCCAGUAUUCUGGCGGGCAUGCCUGUUCGAGCGUCAUUUCAACCCUCAAGCACAGCUUGGUGUUGGGACUCGCGUUAAUUCGCGUUCCCCAAAUUGAUUGGCGGUCACGUCGAGCUUCCAUAGCGUAGUAGUAAAACCCUCGUUACUGGUAAUCGUCGCGGCCACGCCGUUAAACCCCAACUUCUGAAUGUUGACCUCGGAUCAGGUAGGAAUACCCGCUGAACUUAAGCAUAUCAAUAAGCGGAGGA
RNAcentral lists this unclassified non-coding RNA (331 nucleotides) under soil metagenome. Its description in RNAcentral is "partial contains 5.8S ribosomal RNA, internal transcribed spacer 2, and large subunit ribosomal RNA". The stretch from base 1 to 119 matches the Rfam family "5.8S ribosomal RNA", at positions 35 to 154 of the family's 154-position model. The record is from RNAcentral.